GAUGAACGCUGGCGGCGUGCCUAAUACAUGCAAGUCGAGCGAACAGACGAGGCGCUUGCUCCUCUGACGUUAGCGGCGGACGGGUGAGUAACACGUGGAUAACCUACCUAUCUGACUGGUAUAACUUCGGGAAACCGGCGCUAAUACCGUAUAAUAUAUUGAACCGCAUGGUUCAAUAGUGAAAGACGGUUUUGCUGUCACUUAUAGAUGGAUCCGCGCCGCAUUAGCUAGUUGGUAAGGUAACGGCUUACUAAGGCAACCAUGCGUAGCCGACCUGAGAGGGUGAUCGGCCACACGAGAAGUUAGACACGGUCCAGACUCCUACGGGAGGCAGCAGUAGGGAAUCUUCCGCAAUGGGCGAAAGCUUGACGGAGCAACGCCGCGUGAGUGAUGAAGGUCUUCGGAGCGUAAAACUCUGUUAUUAGGGAAGAACAAAUGUGUAAGUAACUAUGCACGUAUUGACGGUACCUAAUCAGAAAGCCACGGCUAACUACGUG
RNAcentral lists this ribosomal RNA (497 nucleotides) under uncultured bacterium. RNAcentral's name for it is "partial 16S ribosomal RNA". It matches the Rfam family "Bacterial small subunit ribosomal RNA", at positions 28 to 507 of the family's 1533-position model. The record is from RNAcentral.